CGUGAAAUUGUUGAAAGGGAAGCGCUCAUGACCAGACUUGGGCUUGGUUGAUCAUCCAGGGUUCUCCCUGGUGCACUCUUCCAGCCCAGGCCAGCAUCAGUUCGCUGUGGGGGAUAAAGGCUUUGGGAAUGUGGCUACUCCGGGAGUGUUAUAGCCCAUUGUGUAAUACCCUGUGGUGGACUGAGGUUCGCGCAUCUGCAAGGAUGCUGGCGUAAUGGUCAUCAGCGACCCGUCUUGAAACACGG
RNAcentral lists this ribosomal RNA (245 nucleotides) under Ilyonectria panacis. Its description in RNAcentral is "partial large subunit ribosomal RNA". It matches the Rfam family "Eukaryotic large subunit ribosomal RNA", at positions 398 to 664 of the family's 3401-position model. The record is from RNAcentral. Lineage: Eukaryota; Fungi; Ascomycota; Sordariomycetes; Hypocreales; Nectriaceae.